This 253-nucleotide ribosomal RNA is filed under the name uncultured bacterium. RNAcentral's name for it is "partial 16S ribosomal RNA". It matches the Rfam family "Bacterial small subunit ribosomal RNA", at positions 524 to 776 of the family's 1533-position model. The record is from RNAcentral.
UAGGGAAGGCGCAAGCGUUGUUCGGAAUCACUUGGCGUAAAGCGCGUGUAGGCGGCUCUGCAAGUCGGGUGUGAAAUCCCUAGGCUCAACCUCGGAACUGCACUCGAUACUGCUUGGCUUGAGUCACGGAGAGGGUGGCGGAAUUCCCGGUGUAGGGGUGAAAUCCGUAGAUAUCGGGAGGAACACCAGUGGCGAAGGCGGCCACCUGGACGGUGACUGACGCUGAGACGCGAAAGCGUGGGGAGCAGACAGG